ACUUAACACACGCCAUGCCAAACACAGUGCAGGCUACUUUUUGACAAGGGAAUUUUCACUGUGUAUGUACUUGUAUUUGGAUCUGGUACGAAACUUUAUGUGACAGACAACAAUAGUGUACAAAAACCCAAAGUGACGGUCUACCCAGCGUCCAAACCUGAGCCAAAUAGGAAAACCACCCUGCUAUGUCUGGCUAGAGACAUGUUUCCAGACUUGGUCAAGAUUUCAUGGAAGAUGGUGGAUGAAAAUGGCCGAACAGUAGAGGUACCCAAAGCAGAGAGGGAAGAGCUGGAGCAGAGGGAGGAAGGACGGACGACCAGUAUGAUCAUCAUUGAUAAAGGCAAGACAUACAGCAACAAAUACAGCUGUUCUGUGGAACAUGAAGGGGGCCCUCAAGAUGUUGACAUACCAAAAGAGGAACCAACUGAAUCUUCUCCAACCACCAUGGCUGCACCAACCACUUUGCAGGUUACCUAUGCUUCUCCAACCACCAUGGCUGCACCAACCACUCUGCAGGUUACCAACGAUUCAUUCAAGUCCAUAUGCGGUCUGAACUUGGCCUCUCUGGUUUACACAGUGAUGAUAGUGAAGAGCAUGGUGUACUGCUAUGGGCUCUCUUUCCUGCUGCACUACAGGAACAUGGGUUGUAGACCCAAAACCUGUAGACAAAUUCAUUGAAAGGAUAUCCCUAUAUAUUGUGUUUCCCUCCUUAAAAUGAAUAUCACAUAAUAUUUACUUUUGAUGAUUGUGGGAGCCACCCACUACAGACACUUGAAUACGGUUCAGUUAAGGAGAGCAAAUCUUGAUGGUAGAAAUAUGAUUGAAAUAGUUUUAUUAAAGUUGCCUUGCUAUAUGUCAUAGCGUCAGAUUACUUUUUUACAAAAUCUGUAUUUGAUUUUUACAAAAAUAUUUACCUAAUUAUCAUAUGUAUUUCUUUAAAUAUGUCAUUAUUAAAUAUAUAGGCCCUUGAUUUCUAAAUAUGUGUCAUUAUACAAAAUCAUUUUUAGUAACUUGUCAAGUGUGUAAUGAAGUGUAUUUUUUCUCAAGUAAUUAGAGUUAGUUUUCUGACAGUAUUUCAUAUCGUCAUUAAAUGUUCUCAUUCAUUUACCAUGAAUAAUAGAAAAUCUAGCUUUUUUUUUGCUUUAAAAAACUAAAUGAUAAGUGCUUAUUGAGCCAGAAAAUUGAUCUAUGAGUGAAAUCAGUAAUUUGUAAUUUUUUACAUUGAUACAAUGCUGUUGUUGUUUAUUUUUUUACAUUGAUACAUAAAGCUUGUAUGAAAAGUGACAUUUUCCUUGUGUAACACAGCCUUGUAGUGAGCAAAGUUUCUCAAAAUAACCAUAUAAUUUCAGAUGGGGAUGGGUUUAAUUAUUGCUGCCUUCAUGAAAUAAAAGUUAAAACAAACAUGGUUCUGCAAUGUAUUGUAUAGCCUACAUUUUGUACAGUUCCGUGCUAUUUUGAAUGAGGAAACUGUCACCAUAAUAAAAAAUUUAUGAUUCUUAAAACCCCCAAAACAUUGUAUUUCUUAUAAGAACAUCUAUUCUUAUUUUAGAACAUUUUAAAUUAUUGAAUCACAUCAGAAACGGAACAAUAAGAUCAUAAGAUCCCUUAUUCUCUGUUUUCAACCUGUUUG
This is a long non-coding RNA of Salmo trutta (river trout), 1630 nucleotides long. NCBI's taxonomy places the organism in Eukaryota, Metazoa, Chordata, Actinopteri, Salmoniformes, Salmonidae. The record is from Ensembl.